This 320-nucleotide ribosomal RNA is filed under the name uncultured eukaryote. RNAcentral's name for it is "partial 18S ribosomal RNA". It matches the Rfam family "Eukaryotic small subunit ribosomal RNA", at positions 1470 to 1796 of the family's 1831-position model. The record is from RNAcentral.
CCCUUAGAUGUUCUGGGCUGCACGCGUGCUACAAUGGCGCUUGCAACAAGUCUUGCCAACCCGAUAGGGUGAGCGGAUCUUUAAAGAGGCGUCGUGAUCGGGACAGUUGAUUGCAAUUAUUCGACUCGAACGAGGAAUUCCUUGUAAUCGCGAUUCAUCAUAUCGCGCUGAAUACGUCCCUGCCCUUUGUACACACCGCCCGUCGCUCCUACCGAUUGAGCGAUCCGGUGAAUGUUUUGGACUGGCGUCAGAAGCGGUUCGCUCCUGACACUACGAAAUUUUGUAAACCUUAUCGCUUAGAGGAAGGAAAAGUCGUAACA